This 495-nucleotide long non-coding RNA is filed under the name Mus musculus (house mouse). Its description in RNAcentral is "predicted gene, 46563". The record is from RNAcentral. Lineage: Eukaryota; Metazoa; Chordata; Mammalia; Rodentia; Muridae.
UGUUUCUGAAGUGUCUAAAGAUGCAGAGGGGACUGCGAAGCGGGAAAUGCCCAGCAGAAGCAACCUCAGGGAAGAAGGGUGUUUGACUCAGUCUCUAGGAUUCCAUCUGCAGUGGUUGGGGGCUUGUAUGGUGAGAUGAAGCAUUCUGGAAACUGUCUACAAGCAACACAAGCACCCUUAGUCUGCUGAGAAUGGCUCCUGAGAAAUGUCAUGUAUUUCACUGUCAUUACGAGUCUCUCAAAUAACCAACUUCCACCACAGACCUCUGAUCUUCAAACACGUCCACUCAAUAAGGAGAUACAUAUGUAAUAAUUUAAAAAUCUUCCCCCCCCCCGUACUACAGCUAUUAAGUUGUUUGUGUGGGAGAAUGCUCCUCUUGUUCAGUAUUUGCCAUCUGAUUACUUCCAAACUGCAAAAGAUAAUGUAGUUUCCUUUAAUUGCCAAUUUUCUUUUAUGGUUGUUGUUUUUACUACUACAAUAAAGGUCUAAAACUGC